This 504-nucleotide ribosomal RNA is filed under the name uncultured bacterium. RNAcentral describes it as "partial 16S ribosomal RNA". It matches the Rfam family "Bacterial small subunit ribosomal RNA", at positions 30 to 523 of the family's 1533-position model. The record is from RNAcentral.
AUUGAACGCUAGCGGCAUGCCUAACACAUGCAAGUCGAACGGCAGCACGAGGAGCUUGCUCCUUGUGGCGAGUGGCGGACGGGUGAGUAACGCGUAGGAAUCUACCUUAUAGUGGGGGAUAACCCGGGGAAACUCGGGCUAAUACCGCAUAAUCUCUACGGAGCAAAGUGGGGGACCUUUUAGGCCUCACGCUAUUAGAUGAGCCUGCGUCGGAUUAGCUAGUUGGUGGGGUAAAGGCCUACCAAGGCGACGAUCCGUAGCUGGUCUGAGAGGACGACCAGCCACACUGGGACUGAGACACGGCCCAGACUCCUACGGGAGGCAGCAGUGGGGAAUAUUGGACAAUGGGCGCAAGCCUGAUCCAGCAAUGCCGCGUGUGUGAAGAAGGCCCUCGGGUUGUAAAGCACUUUCAGUGGGGAAGAAAAAGUCGGAGAUAAUAUCUCCGAAAAUUGACGUUACCCACAGAAAAAGCACUGGCUAACUCCGUGCCAGCAGCAGCCGCGG